CGUAAAGGUGCAUGAGUGGUGUUUGGUUUGUUACGGGUGGUUGGCUCUUUGCUUGUGCAACAACUUCCCCCUGACAAACCUUUUCAGAUGUGUGUUAAGGCCGUUUAUAGCCUGCCUAAACAACUUAUGGGUUUCCUGUGUUGCCUACCUAACAUAUGGUAUUUGUCAUUGCUGAUCCAAGUUCUUUUUGUCUUGUGUCAUAUUUGGUGACAUUAGAUGAACCCUAUAGCUACUCUUUGGACAACAACAUGAGUUUGUGUGUUGAUGUAGUGGUGCAUUGAGUGUUGCUUGGUCUCUUUGAUAUGGAAGCUGAUGUGGGCAUUGGGUCUCAUGGGAUUCUUGUUAUGUCCUCGUUUAGUGUUUACGCUUUUAUAAAAUGACUGCUUGACACGCAUUGGCUCGUACCAGCGUGUUGGGUUUUGUCAAAAAGGAAAGU
RNAcentral lists this unclassified non-coding RNA (436 nucleotides) under Ageratina hyssopina. RNAcentral's name for it is "partial external transcribed spacer". Lineage: Eukaryota; Viridiplantae; Streptophyta; Magnoliopsida; Asterales; Asteraceae. The record is from RNAcentral.